GACGAACGCUGGCGGCGUGCCUAAUACAUGCAAGUAGAACGCUGAAGAGAGGAGCUUACUCUUCUUGGAUGAGUUGCGAACGGGUGAGUAACGCGUAGGUAACCUGCCUUGUAGCGGGGGAUAACUAUUGGAAACGAUAGCUAAUACCGCAUAACAAUGGAUGACACAUGUCAUUUAUUUGAAAGGGGCAAUUGCUCCACUACAAGAUGGACCUGCGUUGUAUUAGCUAGUAGGUGAGGUAAUGGCUCACCUAGGCGACGACACAUAGCCGACCUGAGAGGGGGCGCGGCCACACUGGGACUGAAACACGGCCCAGACGCCUACGGGAGGCAGCAGUAGGGAAUCUUCGGCAAUGGGGGCAACCCUGACCGAGCAACGCCGCGUGAGUGAAGAAGGUUUUCGGAUCGUAAAGCUCUGUUGUAAGUCAAGAACGGGUGUGAGAGUGGAAAGUUCACACUGUGACGGUAGCUUACCAGAAAGGGACGGCUAACUACGUG
RNAcentral lists this ribosomal RNA (497 nucleotides) under uncultured bacterium. Its description in RNAcentral is "partial 16S ribosomal RNA". It matches the Rfam family "Bacterial small subunit ribosomal RNA", at positions 28 to 507 of the family's 1533-position model. The record is from RNAcentral.